UACGUAGGGCGCAAGCGUUGUCCGGAAUUAUUGGGCGUAAAGAGCUCGUAGGCGGCUUGUCGCGUCGACUGUGAAAACUUGGGGCUCAACCCCAAGCUUGCAGUCAAUACGGGCAGGCUAGAGUUCGGUAGGGGAGACUGGAAUUCCUGGUGUAGCGGUGAAAUGCGCAGAUAUCAGGAGGAACACCGAUGGCGAAGGCAGGUCUCUGGGCCGAUACUGACGCUGAGGAGCGAAAGCGUGGGGAGCGAACAGG
This 253-nucleotide ribosomal RNA is filed under the name uncultured bacterium. RNAcentral's name for it is "partial 16S ribosomal RNA". It matches the Rfam family "Bacterial small subunit ribosomal RNA", at positions 524 to 776 of the family's 1533-position model. The record is from RNAcentral.